Molecule: transfer RNA, 88 nt
Filed under: Aspergillus tubingensis
Lineage: Eukaryota; Fungi; Ascomycota; Eurotiomycetes; Eurotiales; Aspergillaceae
Description: tRNA-Leu
Rfam family: tRNA
About the family: Transfer RNA (tRNA) molecules are approximately 80 nucleotides in length. Their secondary structure includes four short double-helical elements and three loops (D, anti-codon, and T loops).
Source: RNAcentral
GGCAAGGUGGCCGAGUGGUUAUGGCGCUGGUUUUAGGUUUCCAAAACACCAGUUCGAAAGAGCGUGGGUUCGAAUCCCAUCCUUGUCA